UGAAAGAAGGUGAAAAUAAAACCAAGAAUGGCUUUAAAGAGGUACAGAGACUCUGGGACAGCAGCAAACAGAACUUGACAGAUGCAGAGAACCCAGAAAAGAGUCCAAGGCCCAAGAAGAUGGCAAUGCCUCACUAUGAAAGGAAGCUGGUUUGGUGAACAAAUGAAUAAAACAGUUCUUUCCACUCUAAAGUGAUCCAUAUUGGACUGUAACAUGAGCAAAACAUAAACUUUUAUGGUAUUAAGCUAAAGAAAUUUUGGGGAUUAUUUACUGGAGUAGUUAGCACUACUUAUCUUGACCAAUACAAUGGGCUUGAUGGGACAAAUAAAGAGUAUGUUUAGAAAUCAA
Long non-coding RNA from Hyaena hyaena (striped hyena), 348 nucleotides. RefSeq lists it as uncharacterized. NCBI's taxonomy places the organism in Eukaryota, Metazoa, Chordata, Mammalia, Carnivora, Hyaenidae. The transcript is spliced from 3 exons. The record is from RefSeq and is a predicted model, not a curated record.